AGAUUAGUUAGUUACAGAGUUUUGACACACAGGUUCUCCAAGGCCCCACCAGAGCAGCUAGAUACAGAGUGUCGAUUGGUGCAUUCGCAAACCUUGAGCUAAACACAGGGUGCUGAUUGGUGUUUUAUUCUUCCCAAUGACUCUAUCCAUUGUGAGAGAGAACUGUACCAAUCGGCCAGAGCGUGGAAGGACCAUAAGGCAUACAUUGACAAAGAGAUUGAAGCUCUGCAAGAUAAAAUUAAGAAUUUAAGAGAAGUGAGAGGACAUCUGAAGAGAAGGAAGCCUGAGGAAUGUAGCUGCAGUAAACAAAGCUAUUACAAUAAAGAGAAAGGUGUAAAAAAGCAAGAGAAAUUAAAGAGCCAUCUUCACCCAUUCAAGGAGGCUGCUCAGGAAGUAGAUAGCAAACUGCAACUUUUCAAGGAGAACAACCGUAGGAGGAAGAAGGAGAGGAAGGAGAAGAGACGGCAGAGGAAGGGGGAAGAGUGCAGCCUGCCUGGCCUCACUUGCUUCACGCAUGACAACAACCACUGGCAGACAGCCCCGUUCUGGAACCUGGGAUCUUUCUGUGCUUGCACGAGUUCUAACAAUAACACCUACUGGUGUUUGCGUACAGUUAAUGAGACGCAUAAUUUUCUUUUCUGUGAGUUUGCUACUGGCUUUUUGGAGUAUUUUGAUAUGAAUACAGAUCCUUAUCAGCUCACAAAUACAGUGCACACGGUAGAACGAGGCAUUUUGAAUCAGCUACACGUACAACUAAUGGAGCUCAGAAGCUGUCAAGGAUAUAAGCAGUGCAACCCAAGACCUAAGAAUCUUGAUGUUGGUCUAUUCUAUUAGUAAACCUUGAUUCCUGAUAGAAGCAUCUGUUGGAAGAUGACACGAAAGCGUUAGGUAUUUGUUUGUUAUUGCUGUCAACAGUCUGAAGAUAUACUCUGAGUAAACCAGGAUAUUCUCUUUUUUUAAGAGAACUUUGAUGGAAAGACACAAUGCUCUAUUUCUGCUGUCCCAGUUUGGAGUUCCCCCAGUUGGAUCCCUGCCUAUGACACUGAAUUAGAUUUCUUUUGCCAGUAUUUUUCGUCUGAAACUAGAGAUAUUGGAGCAGUUCAUUAACUUGGGAUCUAAAAAUAUAAGAGGAUCUGAAUGGAAUCAGCCAGAUGUUCCUUCCCAGCUAUGUGUGUUAAACUGGCUUAUUUCUCCUUUGUUUCAUGGAGAUGCAGUUCUUUUCAGUGUCCGCCCCAGCUCUUUUCUGGUUAAUGAAAAUACUCAUUUCCUCCUCAUGAUGUCUGCAGAAAUGUAAAUACCAGCUGUCCAUACAAGGAAGGAGGAAGAACUAAAGCUGGCAAGGGCAUGGACCUUGGCAUGGCAUGCCAACUCCAGAAGGGUGAAGAGCUGGACUCACAGGCACUUGGGUGCAGUUUGCAGGAGCUUUUUGUGGUGCCGCUGGGUUUUCUCUGUGAGUCUGGUGCAGAGCCAGUGUCAUCAACAGUAAAAGUGGGCAGCUUUCUGGGUCACAUGCCUUGAAAGGGGUAGGGAUUCCCAUCCCAGAAUGAUCAAUAUCACCACCUGUCAUCUCCUUUCCACUGCAGGGUCACAAAGGCUUUUGAGUUCUGGGAGUCCCCUAAGAAAAUAUAAAUCCUCAGUUCUCAAUCAACACCUCUCAAUUAACACUUAGUGGAAUCAGUUGUCAGUCAAGAGCAGACUGUACUUGCAAAAUAGGUCUUUUGGUCACUGACCCCACUCGGCUCAAAUCUUUUCAAAUAUCCUGCUUAUCUGUUGACCUUUUCCUCAAAUCUUACAAAAAAAAGAGAGAGAGAGAGGGAGGGAGGGAGAGAGAGAGAGAGGAAGGAAGAAAG
This 1850-nucleotide long non-coding RNA is filed under the name Homo sapiens (human). Its description in RNAcentral is "HSALNT0138369". Lineage: Eukaryota; Metazoa; Chordata; Mammalia; Primates; Hominidae. The record is from RNAcentral.